Molecule: ribosomal RNA, 447 nt
Filed under: uncultured bacterium
Lineage: Bacteria
Description: bacterial SSU rRNA
Rfam family: Bacterial small subunit ribosomal RNA
Source: RNAcentral
CCAGACUCCUACGGGAGGCAGCAGUGGGGGAUAUUGGACAAUGGGGGAAACCCUGAUCCAGCGAUGCCGCGUGAGGGAAGAAGGUUUUCGGAUUGUAAACCUCUGUGGACAGGGACGAUAAUGACGGUACCCGUCAAGAAAGCCACGGCUAACUACGUGCCAGCAGCCGCGGUAAUACGUAGGGGGCAAGCGUUAUCCGGAUUUACUGGGUGUAAAGGGAGCGUAGACGGCAGCGCAAGUCUGAAGUGAAAUGCCGGGGCUUAACCCCGGAACUGCUUUGGAAACUGUAUAACUGGAGUGCAGGAGAGGUAAGUGGAAUUCCUAGUGUAGCGGUGAAAUGCGUAGAUAUUAGGAGGAACACCAGUGGCGAAGGCGGCUUACUGGACUGUAACUGACGUUGAGGCUCGAAAGCGUGGGGAGCAAACAGGAUUAGAUACCCGAGUACGA